RNAcentral lists this long non-coding RNA (1093 nucleotides) under Triticum aestivum (bread wheat). Its description in RNAcentral is "long non-coding RNA (TAES_LNC006463)". Lineage: Eukaryota; Viridiplantae; Streptophyta; Magnoliopsida; Poales; Poaceae. The record is from RNAcentral.
UCGUACAUGAUUGCAUUAUUGCCGACGGACGCUAUCAGAGUCGGGACAUAAAGCUAGCAGGUGCUCCUGGUAAGUGGUACGUAAUCACUAAUCAGUGGCCUCCUCCUAUCCGUAUCCAUUCAUCCAUCUUUCUGUCAUCUCUGCUCCGCCGUUGCUGUACGAUGCCGAUGCGUCGCCCGGCCAUGAAUGAUGAUCCACUAUCCAGUGGCAACUUGUCCUCAUCUGCCCCAUGAUUGGAAGAAAGCUCCCUUCUAGCUGAGGUUAAGCAGAAUGGACGCAUGCAUGCAUGCACCGGAGAGAGCAGAGGUCGAUCGAUCGAUCUGGAGCAGUGUCAGCAGGAAUGUAGAAAGGCUAGUUAAUUUAUUUUUUUGCAGUCAGAUCCAGCAGCCUGAAAACUCAGCAGCAGGUCUGUGUACAUGACAAACAACUUUCGGUGACACAGCCAUGUCGGUGCACGCGGGAUGCAGUGGAAGCAUGAAAUCUAGAUUCAUUUUGCCAGCUGGAAUUCCAAACGACAUAUCUUAUCAUGCAACUUGCAGGAUAGGACGAUCUAGAUGGUGGAUGAGUCCAGUCCACUAGCGAAGAAUGAGCCAAGCGAGUGUGGUGCUACCAACCGGACCAGGAGAGGACCAGGACCAGCCCCACCAUGCAUGCAGGUGCAGCAGAUAGCUAGAGUAGCUCUGCUUUCUCCCCCAGGCGGCGCAGGAAAUUAAUUCCUCACCUUUCUGACGUUGCAUCCGUCUUUUUUUUUACGAGAAAACUUUGCUCUAUUCAUUUUCAAUUAUAACAGCAUAAUUGUUUAUGAUUUUCAGGUCAUGGAUCAUGGAUGGAUCCCGGCCAGACAAUCCCAAUUGGCUCUUCAGCAUCUGAAAUGUUCAUAGCGAUCUUUUUGGUUUGUUUUCAAGCAAAAGUUUAGUUCCCUUAAAAAAGAAAUGGUUUAGUGCCCUCCUGUUGUUUUUACGUAUUUGUUUACUUUGUCCGCGUGCAUAUCAACCUCUUAUAGUCUUAUGUAUGGCUUUAACGCACUAAUCACCUCAGAAGAAACAAAGUGCACCAGCUCAUGAACCAAAGCGGUUUUGCACCUAUGUCUAUG